This 492-nucleotide ribosomal RNA is filed under the name uncultured bacterium. RNAcentral describes it as "partial 16S ribosomal RNA". It matches the Rfam family "Bacterial small subunit ribosomal RNA", at positions 29 to 507 of the family's 1533-position model. The record is from RNAcentral.
AGUGAACGCUGGCGGUAGGCCUAACACAUGCAAGUCGAACGGCAGCACAGUAAGAGCUUGCUCUUACGGGUGGCGAGUGGCGGACGGGUGAGGAAUACAUCGGAAUCUACUUUUUCGUGGGGGAUAACGUAGGGAAACUUACGCUAAUACCGCAUACGACCUACGGGUGAAAGCAGGGGAUCUUCGGACCUUGCGCGAUUGAAUGAGCCGAUGUCGGAUUAGCUAGUUGGCGAGGUAAAGGCCCACCAAGGCGACGAUCCGUAGCUGGUCUGAGAGGAUGAUCGGCAAGAUGGGGACUAGGACGCGGCCCAGACCACGACGGGAGGCAGCAGUAGGGGAGAGGCGGCAAUGGACGAAAGUCUGACCGAGCCACUCGGAGUGAGAGAAGAAGGCCUUGGGGUCGUAAAGCUCUGCUGUGAGAGAAGAACAUGGGUGAGAGUAACUGUUCACUCCUUGACGGUAUCUAACCAGAAAGCCACGGCUAACUACGUG